Molecule: long non-coding RNA, 3726 nt
Filed under: Nicotiana tabacum (common tobacco)
Lineage: Eukaryota; Viridiplantae; Streptophyta; Magnoliopsida; Solanales; Solanaceae
Description: long non-coding RNA (NTAB_LNC000761)
Source: RNAcentral
AGCAACUCUUGAAUGAGCGAUCCUGGCUGGAUGGUCCCGGGGUGUCUGUCAUACUCAAACUUCGGUAAGUAGAUCCACACCUGUAUGAGAAAACUCUAACCAACACUAUGUGAGACAAUAACACUCCCUACUGGACACAUGCAAGACAUGAUUGAAGCUAUUUUUGCAAAACGGCUUAUGUGGCCAAAAGGUGGCUAGAAGUGCAAACUCAAGAAAGGUGACCUCUAAGAUAUGGAAAAUUUACUUUGCAGAAAUGACCCAUUUUGUAGAAAUGGCCUAUGUGGAAAAAAAGAAGGCUUAGCAUGCAAGUUCAACACAAUGGACCUUAAACAGAGAGGACACCUUGUUGUGGAUUUAGGACUCUAGGACAUGGGUUAAUUGAACUGUUUUUGUGAAAAUAACCCUAUUUUGCAAAACGGCCUAUGUGGCCAAAAGUGGCUAGACAUGCAAAUUCGACAAGGACAUACCUUAAAGUAAAGAGACACCUAAUUGUGGAUUGAAGACUCUCCAGACACAAUUAAACAAACUACUUUGCGAAAAUAGCCCUAUUUUGCAAAAUGACCGAUGUGGCUAAAAGUGGCUAGACAUGCAAGAUUUGGCUAAGACCCCGCAAAGUCAGGAACUUAAGACUCACUAAGAAGACCGGACCCUAUGUGGGUUGCCUACGUAUCCCGCCCCGAGAGACGAGAAUCAAGUUCGCGUAGUUCGGGCAGAUUGGAUACAGGCGGGAAUUAAAAAAAAACAACUAAUUUAGAGAAAAUAUUUCUUUUUUGUCUUUUUCUUAAAAAAUGAUGAAACAUGUAAAAUCUUUUUGCAUUUUCUUUUUCUUUUCUUUUUUUUUUGAAAAAAUGAUGGGAAAGUGCAAAAUCUUUUUGGAUUUUUUCAUUUUCAUUCUUUUUUUGUUCUUUUUCUUAAAAAAUGUGAAAGAAAACAUAACUGGCCCCUACUUGUUUUAUUUUCACACUUCACCCUUUUUUUUUCUCAUUUACCCCCAGCCAUCAUUGGUCCGUCAAAUGACCCUUUUACCCUUGAAGAAAUGCAACGUGUAGCACAUAGGAUACAUCAGGAUCGUCUUUUAUUUUUGGGUAGACCUGUCCUAGACGGACCUAACCCCUGUAUUGAGUCCCCAAAGUCAAAUGAAUAUGAUGUAAUCAAGCGUUCUUACUAGGGAUCUAGCAUGAGGCUGGGUUAUUCUAGGUUCAAAACCCGGGUAUAUUGUUCUAGACUUGUGCAUCCGAGCGGACAAUUCGAGCCGGGGGGGGGGGGGCUACGUACCGGGAACCAAAAGGCCAUCCGGCUUUGUAACUUGUCCGAGCCUCUUUAUAAUUUAGGGUAUGACACUAACAGAAAAGAAGUCACGCCAGCGUGUACUUCCCCGAAGAUGAGAAGAGAAGGGUUUCGUAGCAGUUUAUACACAGUUCAAAUAAUAUCAAAGUGGUAAAAAGCGGUAUUUAGCACAUUAGGCCCAAACAUGUAAUAAAACCAGAUAAUAAAUAAAGCCAAAUAUAACAAUUAUUCUAAGCUCGAAUUCUUGAACCCUGAACCGGAGAUUCUGGGUUCUUGUCCCCAGUAGAGUCGCCAGAGCUGUCACACCUCCUUUUUCUACCACUCGAAAGCAGUAUAGGGGAGUUUUUUUCAAUUUAAGUGACAAUCAAAACGGGAUUAUUUAUUUAAUUUUCAAAGUCGCCACUUGGGAUAAUUUAUGGUGUCCCAAGUCACCAGUUUAAAAUUCCAAAUCGGGGAAAUUUGACUAUUAUUUAUGGUCCGCAAACACAAAAAUUCGGGUAUGGAAUUCUGUUAACCCGGGACAAGGUGUUAGGCAUUCCCGAGUUCCGUGAUUUUAGCAUGGUCGCUCAACUAUUAAUAUUGGCAUAUUUAUUUUAUUUAUACAACAUUCUUGAAACCUAUGUGCAUUUUUAAUCCUUUUAAACCACUUUUAAAAAUCACAUUGUUAUAUAACUAGAUAUUUGAUUACACGUCGCGAAUCAUGUCACGGGAACCGUACCCUCGAUCUACGACAUGUUUAUUUUAUUAACAAGAUUAAAUUGUGACCGGGUCACAUAAAUGUACCCCCGGAUUUUAGAAUUGUGUAUCACAACUACGUCACGAGAACCGUACCCGUAGCUAUGCUACUUUAUUUAGUUAACGUGCCUAAAGCAAACUACGAGAGUUCAAGGAAUUUUCUACACUAGUUAAGAUAUCGACGUAAGGGCCAUAGACUAGGUGAUUGAAUGACACACCUCAAUUUUAUUAAAGAAAAUGCAUUCAACUAAAUGAACUACGGAUACUCAUGUUUAAAACUAAUUACGUAUUACAACUAGGCUACGAGAACCGUACCCGCAAUUGCAAUGAUUUAAUUACGCACCAAAAAAUUUGUUUACCCAUGUGUUGUCGGCCUAAGCAUAUUCCUAGCUGUUAAAUUUAUGAGAAUACGAAUAAGAGAGCGACAUAAUUAUCUAAGCCUAAUUUCCUCACGUUAUUAACCCAGUCUCAAACGUAACUUCAAUUUACUCCAAGAUCAUCCUACGGUCUAAAUCAAUUUCAAGACCAAUCACUAAUACAAUUGUAGUAAUAUAUGCUUGUAAGGAAAUUACUGACUUCUUCAACCAAUUAGGCAUCAUCAAAGAAUUGUACCAAACUAGCUAAUAAUAAUGUAGAACAAAUGAAACUAACAGAUAUUUUCCAAAGAGAUUAAACACAAUUUCGUUCAAAUCGGGACAAGAGAAUGUCAUGAAAACGUGAAGAAGAUGUCAUCAUACUGGGUCUCUAAUGCCAAGUUCAUUGAGCUGUCACUUGAGUGCCAAGUUCAAUGGGUUCGGAACAGAAGUUGCUGCAAGAUUUGCUAAGUUUUUGUUUUAUGAUUACAUGAGAAAUGUGUACCCCUUUUCAUCAAUUGUAAUAAACCAGAACUUUGUGGUCAAUCAUCAUCCAAUUAAACUGUUUUAGUACAAUUUCUGAGGAGAAAAGAAGAUUGUGUAAACUUGGAGUGCAAAUUGUCAUCAUACUGAACAUUCCGGCCAUUUUCCCUUGAAUCAUGUAAUCCACAUUCAUUUUAAAAUCAGAUUUUUCAACUCAAGAUGUCACAAAUAGGCAUAAAAUUCACACAAGUCUGCCAUCCAAACAUCAUACAAGACAAAAUCAAUAAGUAAAGGGGUAAGAUGGUGACAGACCUGAGAUGUGCUUCUAAUUAAUGAAACUCUAAUAAUUACACGGAACGAGGCAACAAUUACAACCGAAAAUUGACACAGAUUCGAACGAAAUCAGCAAAAUCAAACCAGAACUUCGGACUUGAACCUGCAACAACAACCCCGGGCAGAAACUCAAAUUGGUGCAGUCGAACUCCAUUUGUUUCCGUUUCUUUUCCAAUUUUGACCUGAAGACCUUUCCAAAAUUUGUUCUUCUCUUCACUGUUUCUGUUCGUUUGUGCGUGUGUUUGAAUGUUGGAAAAUCAGAGUUUGAGGGUCUUUGAUUUUGAAAAAUUGGAGGCAGCAGUAGGCCUAGAGGAAGAGAUUUUUUGGCUGCCUCUUUCUUCUCUUAUGGUUCAUGGCCGAUUUUAUGUCUGGCCUUAGAGAUUAGGGUGGUGGUUCAGGAAAUUCUAAGGUGGCCUUUCAUUUGUGAGGAAGAUCAGAUGUUGAAGGAAAUGGGGUCCCUUUUUUGUGGGGGAGGGGUCUUUGGGUGUCAGCGGCCGAAGCUAAAGUCCCUUGGUCUAGGUUUAGGAAAUUAGGU